RNAcentral lists this ribosomal RNA (468 nucleotides) under uncultured bacterium. Its description in RNAcentral is "partial 16S ribosomal RNA". It matches the Rfam family "Bacterial small subunit ribosomal RNA", at positions 28 to 507 of the family's 1533-position model. The record is from RNAcentral.
GACGAACGCUGGCGGCGUGCUUAACACAUGCAAGUCGAACGGAAAGGCCCUGCUUUUGUGGGGUGCUCGAGUGGCGAACGGGUGAGUAACACGUGAGUAACCUGCCCUUGACUUUGGGAUAACUUCAGGAAACUGGGGCUAAUACCGGAUAGGAGCUCCUGCUGCAUGGUGGGGGUUGGAAAGUUUCGGCGGUUGGGGAUGGACUCGCGGCUUAUCAGCUUGUUGGUGGGGUAGUGGCUUACCAAGGCUUUGACGGGUAGCCGGCCUGAGAGGGUGACCGGCCACAUUGGGACUGAGAUACGGCCCAGACUCCUACGGGAGGCAGCAGUGGGGAAUAUUGCACAAUGGGCGGAAGCUUGAUGCAGCAACGCCGCGUGCGGGAUGACGGCCUUCGGGUUGUAAACCGCUAUCGCCUGUGACGAAGCGUGAGUGACGGUAAUGGGUAAAGAAGCACCGGCUAACUACGUG